UUGCUAAAUACACCAACCCCACGCCCACUUCCCGCUCCAAGUUCAGAAACACAAUUUUAUCCUUUUCUGCAUUCGAGCGUAUCAGAAUUCAGAAACACCAACCUUCAUCACAGUUGCGCCGCCAUCACUCUGUUUGCUCGCGCCGCCACUCUCGCUCCUCAGGUAUCCCUUCAAUUUCAUUUGGAAAUUCCUAAAUUCCCCUUUAUCUUCUCCACACCGAUGACCCCUCUGCUCUUCAGAUCAGUGUGCCAGAAGGUUGUGAUCUUAUUGCUGUUGGAGCACUUGCUGUGGCAUUUGGCACUUCUCAGGUAGCAUUUGUGCAUAGAGCUAAUUUAACCUCUGGUCAGGUGCUGGUGGUUUUGGGUGCAACAGGAGGUGUAGGGCUUGGCGGCUUGCAGCUGUUCAAAUUGGAAAAGCGUGUGGUACCAUUGUCAUUGCUGUUGCUAGGUAUCCUUUGGAGUUGAAUGUUUAUUGUUUUGCAUAACUCGGUUUUAGGGGAGCUGAAAAGGUGUAGAUUUUGAAGACUCUUGGUGUUGAUCAUGUAAUCCCUGCUAACAUAGCUCUUGUUAAGGCAGGGGAUCCUCUUUAUGUUCUGUUGUGCUGUUGGCUAGCGGCAGUUGGUGCUGGUCUUCUGAAAACUGAGGAGAUUUUGGAAAGGGUGGCGAGGCUGCGAUUCUUGAAGAUUUUACAAUGACUAAUUUGUUGCCAUAAACUAACGAUAGUUAAAUCCUGGUAAUAAUUUUUUUGGUUCUAUUUUAUUUUAAUAGCUAAUAUAUGUCUAAGUUCUGUGCUAGCAGAAAACAAGUUCGUAGUGGAAAGUGGAGCCAAAAUUGUUUGUAUAUGCUACUAUGAGCAGGAAAACAACUGUGGGAUUCAAUGAAGUGUAUUGAUGGAUCUGUGUUCAAUGAAGUGUAUUGAUGCAUGUCAAACACUUUGCUACAAACCCCUGAGCUGUGUUAAUUUGAUUUGAUAGCUUAGGGCUAUAAAUUUGACCAUCCCAGUUACUGUUUUUCAGUGACUUUGUGUUUUGUGAUCACAAAGAGAAUGGCAUCCACUAAUGAGACUGAAAAUCUGGGUGAGAGUGAUACUGUGAAGAACCUUAAACAUGUCGAGAGGAAGCUUCUCAGAUGCAAUGUUCCUGUUGAUGAGCUUCCUGAAGUGCUCGAUAAUCUGGACUUGAUACUAUCAACAGUCAAUCAAUUACCAAGUGAGCCAAUUCAGGAAGCACUUGUACCUUCCAUGAAAGCAUUGAUUUCUGAUGAACUUCUAAGGCACACCGAUGAGGAUGUUAAUAUUUCGGUUACAUCUUGCAUUUUGGUAAUAAGGAAGCAAUUUUCCAUCAUUCACACCCUCAUCCUCCAUUCAUCUUUAACAAAAUAUUGCACCACAAAUUUUGUUAAAACAUUCUAGUGAUUGGCUAUGCAAUUUAGCUAGCUAAAUGCUUAUUAGGUAAGUAUCUAGGAAAACAAAUUGGAACCAAUGAUUGAUAUUAUUAAACUACUGUAGGGUAUCCUAUGGAGAAGGUAUUGGGGCAGUGUCCCAGCAACUCUAUAGUGUCCUUACAAGACUACAGAUGGGUAUUACAGAGGAUGUGAUGAAUUGGACUGUUGAGCUGAGAUAGGCACAUAAAGAAAUAGCUGGCACUGCAUCUUCGCUGAAAUCCCGUGCAAAUCUCCAAUCACUAGAACUAGUUCUUUUAAAAUUUUGCUUUUGGAUAUGAUUAGUUCUUGUGGAUAGUCACUGGGGUGUGUGUAUUGCUUUU
Non-coding RNA from Arachis ipaensis, 1762 nucleotides. Lineage: Eukaryota; Viridiplantae; Streptophyta; Magnoliopsida; Fabales; Fabaceae. The record is from RefSeq and is a predicted model, not a curated record.